GAUGAACGCUGGCGGCAUGCCUAACACAUGCAAGUCGAGCGGCAGCGCGAGUAGUUUACUACUUGGCGGCGAGCGGCGGACGGCUGAGUAACGCGUGGGAACGUGCCCCAAAGUGAGGGAUAACUUCGAGAAAUCGGAGCUAAUACCGCAUAGUAUCUUCGGAUUAAAGAAUUUAUUCGCUUUGGGAGCGGCCCGCGUCGGAUUAGGUAGUUGGUGAGGUAAAGGCUCACCAAGCCGACGACCGUAGCUGGUCUGAGAGGAUGACCAGCCAGACUGGAACUGAGACACGGUCCAGACUCCUACGGGAGGCAGCAGUGAGGAAUCUUCCACAAUGGGCGAAAGCCUGAUGGAGCAACGCCGCGUGCAGGAUGAAGGCCUUCGGGUUGUAAACUGCUUUUAUAAGUGAAGAAUAUGACGGUAACUUAUGAAUAAGGAUCGGCUAACUACGUGCCAGCAGCCGCCGUAA
Molecule: ribosomal RNA, 466 nt
Filed under: uncultured bacterium
Lineage: Bacteria
Description: partial 16S ribosomal RNA
Rfam family: Bacterial small subunit ribosomal RNA
Source: RNAcentral